ACAUCCUCCUGGGUAUGGACGAGAGAGCUCCAACUCCUUCAGGCUCUCACUGAUCCUCAUUGGAGUCCCCACAUAGGCAUGAAGGAAACUAAUCACAGGCAGUGCCGAGCUGGGCUGGAAGGAACGAGCCCUAACGCCGCCCGCUCGGCAAGCUAAACGCGGAUCUCGCAAAAUCAUCUCUCGAUGAAGACGAGGUGAACCUUUUGUGCAGUUAUUUCUUAAACGCUGGGCAGCUCACCUGUCAAACCACGGGCACAGGAAAACAGGAGUGAAUUCUCUAUUUCAUAGUGCAGCUAAUCCAUUCUGAGCAGAUUUUUUCACUAAAACCAUGGGAGAAGUUGGGAUUUUCUUUGGUUCGACCCCAAUAGGCAUUCACUGCUGUUUAUCAGACCUUCACGCUGGGCAGGUGUAGCCAUCACAGAACAAGCACACAGUGUGGCAGCACAUGGGAGCACUCUGGAGCAGAAUUCUUUCUGGAGGAGGAAAGUGUAGGGCAUGGUGGACACAGCAACUGGAGGAAAAAAAGAAAGGAGCUGAUGAAGCGUAUUUGGAAAAGGAUCUGUCCCUCUAUGAUGUCAACACAUUUUUCUGCAGAGCUCUUUGUAUGAUGUUGCCUACCUGUAAGACAAAUUGUCUUUGUCUCGCCGUUAGAGUUCUUGUGCACCUGCGUCGAUAACUUCAUGUAGAAUACACCAAGAGAUAGCUUUUAUAUCAUGGCAUGGGGACCCACGUGCCAGUGGUCCACACAGUAGGGUGUAUAUGUUGAAAUUGACAGAUAUGGCCAUUUCCUCCCUAGGAGUGACUAAUGCCAGAGGGCAACGGUAGUUCAUUAUGCCAUGCACUGUGUCAGGGAGGUGCCCCAAGCUUAUGGUGGCCAGAAUCCCUACGAGUGAAGAACUUUUUGGUGAAUCUCCUGCUUUGUGAAGAUUGUCUUCUCAGCUGACGGACGGAAACAUCCUGACUCAGGGAAACACAAUAAUGAGGGAUUUGUGUUUCCCCUUUGUUUGCCUUUUGCAGUGCCCAGGGGUUGGAUGUGCAGGAGCAAGUCCUUGGCUCUUCUACAUGAUGUAAAUCUACCAUAUUCUCUGUUUGUUGAGAGCAACCAGGAAGGUAUUCAGGGCCCAAGAUUCCAGUUUAGGAAGUUGUAGCAAUGAUGGGCAUCUUCCCUACUCAUUGUUUGAAAGAUUGUGAUAACAGCAACAGAAAUAAUGGCAGUCAAUGAGAAAUGAAGUUCUUAGUUCUUCUGUGCAUCAGAAUACACUGCAAGCUGAUAAGCUGUGUAUGGAAAGCAUCACAGUAGUCUGUGUAGCAAAGUACAGCCAGGGAGUACACGUGCAGUGUGCUGAGGCAUUUUUAAGCAAUAUUUAAGAGGAAAAGAGGUAACCCCUAAUCUGCUUAUCCAGUGGUGCGUGGGUAAGCGUGCUGACGCUGAGGAUGUCCCUGGAGCUAUGGCAGUAAGAAGGGAAAGCAGGGAACCUCAUUCCAGGUUAUGAAAGAACAUAAUAUGCAGGAGUGUUUUAUGUAAGUCUACGAGGGGGGAAAAUGGAUGAAAAUAGGGGAAUGGAGUUGUAGUGACUGUUACACCUGCAGAAGAAGUUGACUUUAGAGGUGGUCAUAAUGUGAAUUUCCUGUGUGUGCUGUGUUUGUAAUGUGUGAAAACAAAUUUAACUCAUCAGGUGGGAAAGUUCUUACAGAACUGAUGUCUGUGGACAGAAAGGAGUUUGUAACACAGUUAAGAUGCUGCAUGUACAGAACAAAAUUUCCCUGGACUUCACUGGGCUUUGGAUCAGACCUUCCUUCUGAAUUAAAAAAAAGAAGAGUACCACAUAAAUACAGUAUUCGUUUUGCAGAUAUUCUGCUUCAAACAGAGUAACUGAGUUCAGCCACUCUGCUUUUAUUAUUAUGACAAAUAUCUCCACAUUAGCAUAAGGGAAAACAAGGGGUGAAAUGCCAGGCGUGCUCCCACGCAUCUGAACCAACAGAAUCGCUCUCUGCAUUUUGCAGACCUUCUGCAUGAAUCAUUAUGCCCAUUCUGUGUAAUAAAUAAUAAUAAUAAUAAUAAUUUGUGAUGUAAAAAGUGCUCUCAAGAGAACUUUGUUUUAUUUAGCAUUUAAUAAAUGUAUUCAGCAAGGACUGCCUUGCCUAUACACGUAUAUGCUAUAUCCGUAUUUGUGUGCCUCAUGCAGCAAAGCUGCUACCUGCUAAACACAGAUCUAUACUUCGGCCACGUGAGAAUGCCCCACUCAUCAGCUCCACUUGUUGCACCUCUCCUGGGAUGGCCAAAUCUCUCACAAAUGUGCAGUUUUAUGAGCAUCCCUCGGCACGACAGGCGUCACACAGCACUGCAAAUUCAUGAACGAAACGAACUCACUCCAUCCUCUCUCUGGAUCUGCAUGGAGCCUCUCACAAUGGGGCUGUGAUUUAUUUGGGGCCUCUGGGUAUGACUGCCAUACAAGUAGUAACUAAUGACAACAGACCACCAGAGAUUGCUGAGAUUUGCUUGCAGUAAGGAAAAAUAAACUGGUCCGUAGCACGGACAUUGCACAUCUGGUUAUGUGCAUAAACAGGGCUGAUU
Gallus gallus (chicken) is the source of this 2575-nucleotide long non-coding RNA. RefSeq lists it as uncharacterized. Lineage: Eukaryota; Metazoa; Chordata; Aves; Galliformes; Phasianidae. The transcript is spliced from 5 exons. The record is from RefSeq and is a predicted model, not a curated record.